GAGUGAAUGGAAGCGAGAUGGUGUUCAAUUCACCUCUGCUCUUGCCAUACCUUCUUCACCAUCGGACUUCACCAUCGGAGACUAUAUCCUCAAUCUGUGAGCCAAACAGACCGUCCCGUUAGUAUGGAACCUCAAGGUCUUUAUGACAAUGGAAACAAAAAAAUUGAUUGGCAAACCGCUUCAACCAGCAAGACCUGUUCGUCAUCUCUCUUCUCCUCCAGGACCAGUGUUCCCUUUCAACUUUCAGAAUGAAUAUCCAUGCAGCACUCAAUGCUUACAAAGUGGAGUGGGCAGAUGUAAGACGAAUGGAAUGCAAGCCUUUUCUCAAGGUCUUAAUGAGCAACAGCAACACCAGUCUCCAGUUAAAAAAGAGAGAAUUAAAUAUAGCAGAGAUUUCUUGUUGAAGCUUUCAAGUGUUUCCAUCUGCAGAAAAAAACCAGACUUUCUGCCUGAUCACCCCAUUGUACUUCAAAAACCAGAAAACAACCAAAGUUUUAAGUAGCAUUUUAAGAACAGAUGAAUUUGAAGAUAAAGAAUUAUUCAUUUUAUAUUUUGGACACCUGCAAAUGAAGUGGACCUAGUACAAUAACUAAUGGACUGUGACGAUUCAAUUUAUUUUUACUUUUGAUGGUUAGCUAUUUGGCUUCUCAUAAAAGGAGAAAGAGAUAUUUUAAAGUAUAAAGAAUUUUUCUAAUCAGUUUCAGCUUUGCAGGCAGUUCCUGCAAAAAUUGGGAAGUAACACUCGAAAGUG
This 751-nucleotide long non-coding RNA is filed under the name Mus caroli (Ryukyu mouse). Its description in RNAcentral is "lncRNA (MGP_CAROLIEiJ_G0003486.1)". The record is from RNAcentral. Lineage: Eukaryota; Metazoa; Chordata; Mammalia; Rodentia; Muridae.